Amphibalanus amphitrite is the source of this 801-nucleotide long non-coding RNA. RefSeq lists it as uncharacterized. NCBI's taxonomy places the organism in Eukaryota, Metazoa, Arthropoda, Thecostraca, Balanomorpha, Balanidae. The transcript is spliced from 3 exons. The record is from RefSeq and is a predicted model, not a curated record.
AGGACAGGUCGGGACUGUAUGCGGUCCAGUGCAGAUGGGCAUAAGUUUAUUUUUAGGUGGUUAUUUUUCUACAGGUAGUUACAUGAGUCGGUAAUGCGCUCUUAUUUCGCAUUAGCGGUGAAUCCGUUCCUAAUACGUGUUUGCUUUGCUCAUGUAACCCCGGUCCCUGUCACACCGACCCGAAUCUGGGUCGGGUGAUCUACCAGCCGCGGAUGUAAAGAAGCAAGCUUUCUUAACGUCUGGUGGAGCAAACUGAGGGGCUACAAACUAAUACAAAAGCAUGGGUUGGAUGGGGUACCAUUUCUGUUCUUUUCUUUUUUUCUUUUUUUUUGGUGAUCUUCAGCGUGCCAGGGCUGUGACUAAAAAUAAGUGGCCUUAAUCCGAUGAGAAAGCACGAAUUUGGGAUACCCUAGGUUUGACCCCUCUAGUCGGUGCCCCCCAUUGUCUCCAAUCAUUCCACCGCCUAUGAUGACCGGGUCACCUCUGCAUAACGGCUGGUCGCUGGAGGAGCGUGCUGCCGCCCCGACGGCGACCUCCUUGGUCCAGGGUGAGACGGUCUAGUGGAAAGCGUCGCCACGGCAUCAUCACCAUGACCAGCGCAGCAUCGGCGGCGGGAAGUUUUUCGCCACAGCAUCAGCAACUGGAUUGUGUCACACAUUCGAAAGUGGCUGAUAAUGUCAGAAGAGACCAUGAGCGCACCAAUAUCACGGACAAACGACGGGAGAAAAAUGGGUGCUAGGGUGCAACUUGGGUGCUCCUCCCGGCAACUGCCUGCGCAUCUGAGAUGAAGCUGAGCUGGUG